UCAGACGAUGCGUCAUGCAUAUCAAUAAGCGGAGGAAAAGAAACCAACAAGGAUUCCCCUAGUAACGGCGAGUGAAGCGGGAAGAGCUCAAAUUUGAAAUCUUAAAGGGUUUCCCUUUACGAAUUGUAGUUUAAAGAAGUGUUUUCUGUUGAGGUUUUGGUAAAAGUUCUUUGGAAUAGGACAUCAUAGAGGGUGAGAAUCCCGUAUUUGACCUUUACUUUCAACUUUGUGAUACACUUUCAAAGAGUCGGAUUGUUUGGGAAUGCAGUCCAAAAUGGGUGGUAAAUUUCAUCUAAAGCUAAAUAUUGGCGAGAGACCGAUAGCGAACAAGUACCGUGAGGGAAAGAUGAAAAGAACUUUGAAAAGGGAGUUAAACAGUACGUGAAAUUGUCAAAAGGGAAGCGUUUGACACCAGUAGUUGUUUUUCUGAAAAUCAAUUAAAGAACUGUUUAUGCUAAGUUGUUUAGACUUUAUCAGCUAUCUGUUUAGUUUUGAGCUUUUCUUUAAUGCACUUUUCAGUUAACAAGUCAACAUCAAUUUCUUUUGCUGUAAAAAAGCUUGAGGAAGGCGGCUUGAGAUUCGUCUUAAGUGUUUAUAGCCUCUUGCCUAUGCAGUCGGAGAGAUUGAGGUCUGCAGCGUAGAUCCUUCGGGGCUAAAUGCAUUUGUGCUAAGUUAUAGCAUUUUAUAGACAACUUGUUGACUAUGAUUUGUCUUGUAGCUUACUCGCUUAUGUUAUUUUACCUACGCUUAGGAUGUUGAAUCUGUGCGAGACUAC
RNAcentral lists this ribosomal RNA (775 nucleotides) under uncultured Neocallimastigales. RNAcentral's name for it is "partial large subunit ribosomal RNA". It matches the Rfam family "Eukaryotic large subunit ribosomal RNA", at positions 18 to 644 of the family's 3401-position model. The record is from RNAcentral. Lineage: Eukaryota; Fungi; Neocallimastigomycota; Neocallimastigomycetes; Neocallimastigales.